RNAcentral lists this long non-coding RNA (1236 nucleotides) under Cyanistes caeruleus (blue tit). RNAcentral's name for it is "lncRNA (ENSCCEG00000000923.1)". The record is from RNAcentral. Lineage: Eukaryota; Metazoa; Chordata; Aves; Passeriformes; Paridae.
GUCUUUUGAGGGAGAAUUAUCACAUGUAUCAGGUGUAUCAGCUUAUAAUGUUUUUCAAGUAUUUUGCUGUAAAGGAAGCUGUUAGGAAGGAGGGCACUUACUCCAGCCCAGCUUCCAUCCACCCCUGCCCAUGGCCCAGGAGCUCCAGCUCACCUCAGCCUGGGACUGUCUGACCUUUUCCCAACAAUGCCAUAGGAGUGAAAUCUCCAACUCCUUCUCUGACCCCGUGUCCUUCUGCUCCUGGAUGGAUCCCUUGGAAGAAAUCCUUCCCAGCUGCCAGCAGACAAAGCCCAAUCCCUUUGCACAGCAGAGGUGCUGUGAACUAAUAUUAGUGUCAAGCCUCAUUGUCUACAUCCAAGGAGAAAAAUGUUAAGUUUUCAAGAUCAAUGAAGAUCAUCUACUUUCAUGAUGCAUUGUUCUCACUAACAGUGAUGUACGGGAAGCACCUGAGAGUUAAUCUAGAAACUUCUUUGGCCAGGACACAACAAUAUCUCUUGGUUGUUGAUGCGUGGUCUGGCAGCUGUUGCUGCUAAUCUGGUUAUCAGGGCCUGCAGGUGUAUCUGUAUUUACACAACUGGCUUCUAAGGACCUACAUUUAUCAAGUAAUGAUUUAUACUCUACAGAUUGCUUGGGUUUUUAAUUUUUUUAAAAAUAUUUUUUAUUGAACACUGAGGAUAAGAAAGAAUGAGGGAAGCCUAGUCUAUUUUCAUGUAGGUUCAAGGUUUAUUAAAUUCCCCUGCAUCAGUUUACAUUCCUGGAUGUUCCUGUCUGUGCUGGGAUGAGUCAGUGGGGAGAGCUGGCAGCAGUGAGGUUUAGGUACCACAUGCAGCUGUAGGACCCACCAGAGCUUAGUUCUGCAUGGGGCCAGUGCCACAUGCUGCUGCUGGGUGCUGACAGAGGAUUUGGGUGCUAGAGCCUGUGAAUUUGGAUCUCCUGCCUUCAUGACCUGAUAUGAAAUCUCCUCCUGGCGUUGCCCUGCACUGGGAGAGGGUGCAGGGAUGGUGCUGCCAGAAUAGACAUGCCCACUGCAGUGCCAUCAGGGUGCAUCCAGAGGGAUGAACUUCCUGCCUUUCAUUUCAUGCUUUUCUCCCCUAGAUCAUAGGGAAGGUAAGGGUGGGUCUGGCAGACAGUGCCCUGGGCAAUGUCUUAUUUGAGGAGUCUGCAGGGUAUACAAAUGAAUACUCCUCUUCAGUUAUACUGGGAUAAGGAAUAAUAAAGCUUCUGCACGCCCUUUCA